AUGGAGAGCGGCGGCGCCCAAGAAGUCCCGUCGUCGAUGGCUCCGAGGAGCCGAACGACCUUGGGCGACGACAACCCAAUCGAAGAAAAGAGAAGAGGGAUGGGGGGCGGUGGCGCGGAAGCCGUCUCAUCGUCGAUGACUCCGUGGGGCCGCGACGAUCCAAACGAAGAGAAGAUAGGCGGCCCGCAGGCGGUUGCAUCGUCGACGGCUCCCCGGCGCAGGGUAGCCUUGGGCGCCGACGGGCGCCCCCUCGACGGCGUCAUGCGCGGUGAACUGCUUCGCAACUUGAAGCAUGGCGAUGGAUCCAUCUACACAAGCAACAGUUACUGGGCUAGAGUUUAUCGUCUCUACGAUACCAGCGAGACUUGUCUGGAGUCAAUGAUGAUGACGGUGCCUUAUGACAGUUGCAUGCCUAACUGGAGGGUUUGUAAAAGGCAUGCCUAUCGCACCAUGAUGCAGAUAUUCUCGCUGAAGCUAGCUUACACUUCUUCAUAUGUUGGUGGCCCAGUUCAGUUGUAUGGAUACGUGGCUGUCAGAGAUCUGUUGAACCCUAUGCGAAAUUACGUCUUCAACCGUACAAGAAAUGAUCCUUUGGUGGUCGAGCAUGAUGGCUUUAUACAAAUGUCUGGCCCCAAGAGAGGCAUCAGAAUGCAAGCUCCCGUGCUGAUAGAGUUCAAUCUGAAGAUUAAGACAGGAGGAGAAGAAGAAGGUGAUGAUCAACAGGUCAUUGAUGGUGUUGCCAUAUUCGGCGACAGAAUCUCAGGGCAUGCCAGGGUAAACACGCAGCGAAUGGAUGGUGAUGGUGGCUCAGUGGACAUAAAGUUUGCAGUUCUGGAACGUGCCUCGGAGGCCACUGUACAGGUUGGGAUAUCAGAAAUUGAGAAGGGCAGUUGCUUAAGCUUGUGUUUGGCAGGAUCUUACACUAGCCCAUCUUAUGUUUCACAUGGGAAAAUUCAGCUGUUUGAUGGGGUUAUCACUGCGGAGGCAUCCGAGCUAAGCAGGGCCGUGGUUGCUGUGGCGCGAGAUAGUAAGCUGGUUGUAAAACUGAAGCUUAGUCAGAAGGGUGGGUUGGACAUCCAUCGAUGCACUAUCUUCCCGGUUGAAAAGCAUGGAAGUCAGUCCUUCAUUUUCAAUCUUGGUGUGGCCACUGUGGAGGUGAUGGUAACUUGGUCAACAAUGGAUAUUCCCCAAAGUCUUCUUGGGCCUAAUUGCUUUGCGCAUGAGUUCAUGGCAUCUGAGGGCGUUGAGUAUGUCGAUGAAUAA
This 1263-nucleotide ribosomal RNA is filed under the name Triticum aestivum (bread wheat). Its description in RNAcentral is "partial small subunit ribosomal RNA". Lineage: Eukaryota; Viridiplantae; Streptophyta; Magnoliopsida; Poales; Poaceae. The record is from RNAcentral.